CCUGUGGGGAGGUGGCGGUCAGUCACCCCCCGGCCUGGUGCCACCACAGGACCACAGAAGCCUGGGCUGCCCUCAGGCCCCACGCCUGCUCCUCGAGCAUCAUUCCUAGAGAGCCAUGAGGUCAGCCUCCGGCACUCAUGGUGGCCAGUCACCUGGGACCUUGCCCCAUGCAGCCAUCACUCAUUCACCACUGACCACAGGGCAGUAUCUGGGCCAUGUCACCGUUUGCUGCCAGUAGUUGGAAGCAGCAGUGGCCGGGAGACAGCGGAGGCCCAAGUCCUGCCCCUCCUCCUGCUGGGAGCUCUGCCACCUCCUGCCACCGGUGUCCCUUCUCUACAAUCCAGUUGCUGCCUGGGGUUGUGAUGAAGGCCGAGUGAUAGUUCCCCUACACCUGGGGUGGCCUCAGGUCCUCUGUCCCUCAGCAGCAGUGGUGCCAUCCCUGGGCCAAGGUGUGACUAUCUGGGGCCUUACUGAGGACACGUUGGACGUGCAGUUCUCCGGGGUGAAGAAUCAGGAAGGAAGCACGUGGGGAAAGAGAGGUGCAGACUCCGCCUCGGGACUCCCUCGCUGAAGCCUGAUGGGCACAGCUCUGCUGGGACACUGUGUCUAGCCAAGGGGGACAGAAGAGCCACCUACACUUGAGAUGGAGACCUCAGCUUAGAAUCUCUGACAUCUACUAAACAAAGUAUUUGGACUGAGGCCCAGGAGACCCUGAACUCCCUAAACCCACUGCCCACCCAAGUGUUGGGGGUCGAACCCAGGGUGUUCCCAUGGAUCCAGGCACCCAGCUUCUCAUCUGCCCUCUUCAAGGGACCUCUAAUAUGACAGAGGGAUCUUCCUUAAAACACAAGCCUGACUUUACACCCAGAGCCUACCAUGGCUCCCCAGUGCCCAGGAAAGAUCCUGGCUGCUUUGCGUGGCUGCAGAGCCCUGUGGGUGACUUGGUAUCGGCCUUGAAGCAAGGCCACAUCCUCUCUGCCUACCUCGAAGGUGACCUCAGUCAGCCCGGCCACAUGAGCAUGUGGAUCUCGCUCCUCAUUUUGGGCCCAGCUGACUGGCUGCUUCUCUCCAGCACACCAUGCCCUGGAUGCAUGGCACCCUCAGAAUGGACAACACAGAUGGUCUGACCUGUGAGGGUCCCACUGUGACCUUCCAGCUUUUCCCUGGGCUAGUGACAUGUGUCAGGAGUCUCCAGCAGUCGCCCUCUCCACUCAGCCCUCAAUGGAGAGCAUUAAAGGUCAAUGCUCCAUGGCACACUGUGGCUGUCCCAGCACCUGGCUCAGGGGCCUUGAACUUCUCCUUUACUGGGGACAGAACCCCAGGUUCUCGCAGGCUGACAAGCUUUGCCCAAGCAGCACCUCCUUCUCUAGGAUUCACUGCUGACCGGCAUCUGCCCGACUCCUUAACUGACCCCUACAUCUGCCCGACUCCUUAACUGACCCCUAGUGCACCUGUCCACACCCAGCUCCUCUGCACCUGAGCCCAGAGCUGUCAACCAGCUGUCACUCUGCCACACUGGAGAUGUCCCUUGGGGAGACCAGCUUGGCAUCCAGACGGGGAAAGCCACCUCUACCCAAUACGGCCCAGGACAGCCCCACCCUACAGGAGUGGGAGGUCAGCAGCGCAGGUGGAGACACCAAGACCAGCUCUGAGUCUGCAUCUAAAACGGUGGCCUCGGUGCUUGGGAGAAGUGUGCCAUCUAGGGCAGCGGUACUUGGUGGGAAGGAGCUGCUCAGCCUUGCUCGCUCUUCCACCUGCAGGGUGGGGCUCUGGUGAGGAUGGCUGGCUCACAGUGGCCCUCCUGGGGUAGCUGCCAGGACAGGUGUGCAGCAGCCAGGGGAAAGCAGUGCUUGGUUCCAGCUGGGCAGGUCUUUCCACCUUACCCACUGAAUACAGCACCCUGUUUUUACUUUUUGGA
Long non-coding RNA from Cavia porcellus (domestic guinea pig), 1918 nucleotides. RefSeq lists it as uncharacterized. The transcript has 2 exons. The record is from RefSeq and is a predicted model, not a curated record. Lineage: Eukaryota; Metazoa; Chordata; Mammalia; Rodentia; Caviidae.